AUAUUCACGUGUACUCUUAAGAAAGCGUCUGUUCUCCAAACUGGCUUUCCAUUCUCCCCGUCCUAAAUGGUGCGUGGCUGACACCGUAGUGUUUUCAAAACUGGAUAUGGCCAGGAUGCUAUAGCAUUGUCAGUGUAAGUCCCUUUUGGGUAUUUUUAUUUAAUUGUGUAGUGACUUGACAGAAGUGUUUCCCAGCUUGACCUAAGUAAUGAAUUUGCAUAGGAUUUCAGCAUCAGUAUGGAAGUGAUCAGAUGUCAGUGGCUGGUGCCACCUUGCAGAUAAAUGGCCACUGGUCCACGUAGUUCGUCUUUACUAUACAUUUUGAUUAAGUUCUCUAGGACCAGCUGACUGGUAAUUAUAAGUCACAUGAAACCCUGCAGAGAUGAGAGCUUACAUUGAACACUUCUUAACAAGUUUUCUAUUCUUUGUUUCAUCUGUUACAAUUAAACUCACCUUCGUCUAGGGUAAGACCAUUACUUUACGCAAUAACAUACUAGCUUAAUUUACGGUAUUUAUAUGUAUUUAUAUAUAUUGUAUAUACAUAAUCAUACAUAUAAUUCUAUAACAUUUAGUUUGACUCUAAAGUUGGAAAAUCAGGAAAAUAACAGGUGAUGUUGAGUACUGAUUGUUUGCCGGGCCUGUGCCAAAUGGUGUGCAUGCUUUAUGUAACUUAAUCUAAAAAAAUUUGAAUACGUGAGUUUGAUUUCAGUGUGUCCAAAUGUGAAACGUGUACAUUAUUGUUAUUGUUUUGUUUUUUUUGAGACGGGGUUUUGCUCUCGUUCAGGCUGGAGUGCAAUGGCACUGUCUUGGCUCACUGCAACCUCCGCCUCCCGGGUUCAAGCGAUUCUCCUUCCUUAGCCUCCCAGGUAGCUGGGAUUACAGGCGCCCGCCACCACGCCCAGCUAAGUUUUGUAUUUUUAGUAGAGACGGAGUUUCACCAUGUUGGCUAGGCUGGUCUCGAACUCCAGACCUCAGGUGUUCCGCCCGCCUCGGCCUCCCAAAGUGCUGGGAUUACAGGCGUGAGCCACCGCGCCGGGCAAACGUGUGCAUUAAAUGCUUGUUUAUGCCUUUGUAAAAUAAGAGUGUUGGCAAUAUAAAAUGUUACCCAUAGAGUAAAUUAAUGUGUUUUUCAAGUUGGAAGAUGGCUUUAAAAAUUCAUAGAAGUACAAUUAGUCCCUUUAUUUAGGUGCUGAAUAGUUUCCAAAGCCCCGUGUCUCUUAUUUAUCAGAGUUUCUAUUAUAUAACAUUGUCACCCAGUGAACAGGCUAUGCUAGGACAUUGGAAAAAGGUAAAUAUUGAGAAAGCCCUAAUGGUCCUUUCUUAAAUGGCCCCCUCUUUCCAUAUUUAAUUUCUAAGUGACAUUCCUAAUUAAGGGUAAACAAACAUAAUGAAACAAGGCUAAUUUUCCAAUACCAAACUAAAAAAAUAAAAAACAGUGGACUGGCUAUUACUUUGUUGAUGAGUCUAGCACAGUUUUACUGGGCAUUUAAAUGUUAAGGAUGUUAUUUACAUUGUAGCUAGUUGUGAAAGAUUUGUGUGUCUAAGUUUUUAGUUUGCCUUUAAAUGUCUUGAACAUAUGCUUAGUAUUGAGUCCAGUACUUUGUGCAUUAAUAGUAAGUUUUUUGAUUGGAUUUAAUUGAACAGUUUUGGCUUCCUUAAUUUUAUUUUGAAGAUAGAAUUUAAUGAUUUGUGUAGGCAUAACAGUUACAAUUAACAGUGAUUCCGAGAUGAGCGUAGGGUUUAACUUAACAGUUCACAUUUUCUUGCGAGUUGAAAGGACUGGAGAGUUGGAUGUGUGUCUUCUUUGUGAUUAAAAAAGCAUGCUGGAACUUAGCUAUCAGAAGAUUCUGGUGGUCCAUCUUUGGGAAGAGGAAAAGAUUAAGAAUGCUUUGCUAGUCAGUAUUUACAAGAGGGUUUCUUUACUUAAAGGCAUUUUCUCUUUGGGGAGGGGAGGAGUUGAGAGUUGUCAUUAAUGGAAGGAUCUUAGAAUAAAAAAGAUGUAUACAUGUUUUCCUUUGGAGUGAAUUUGUGACUGGAGAUGGGGUUUCACUGUGUUAGCCAGGAUGGUCUCGAUCUCCUGACCUCGUUAUCUGCCCUCCUCAGCCUCCCAAAGUGCUGGGAUUACAGGUGUGAGCCACCGUGUCUGGCCUAUGUGCUUUUUAAAGAUGGAACUGAUUUAGAAUGCAGUAUAUUACAGUACAUGAAAAAAUUUUGGAAUUUCUGUAUGUUUUUCACUGUUGGAAAGCCAUAGUGAGUGUAAUAACAGCAUUGGCUCCUGUUCAUAAGGCAUUUAAAUGAUGUGUUUCCUAUGACAGGAAGACAAGCGUUUCUCAUUCCUUCAAAAUUUGGCUCUCAGAUGGAGUGCCCUUUAAGCUCCCUGAAUGCAGGGACUUCUUCUGUUUCACUCAUUGUCUUUUUUCUGGGGCCUAGAACAGAACCUGGCAAACUGAGAGUGCUAUGUAAACCUUUGUAGAAUGAGCACUUUCCCUGGGGAAUCCUCUCUCCACUUUCCACUAGUGAAGAUCCCACCUGCUUUUAGGUGCAGGGCCACUCCAGCCUGACUUUCUCUGCAAUCUGCAGCCCACAAUGAUUCUUUGAACAUUAACUGUGUAUACCACACUCUGUGACAGUGAAUCUUUUAUAGCUUUAUAUUGAUACAUGAGUGUUUCAUGUAUUUUGUUUCCUCACCCAAAAUAUAAGCUCUUCAAGGCUACAGGAUAUCCUAUUUUUGAGAAUUGCCUUGGUAUCCAGUAUAAUAUAUAAUAUUAUAUAAUACCUAUAAUAUAUAAUGUAAUAUAUGUAAUAUAUAAUAUAUAUAAUAUACAUGUAUAUAUACAGAGUAGGUUAUAUUUUAGUUAGGCAAACCUAGUGUACACAUGUGAAACAGUACUAGAAUUUGGAGCUAAAUAAGAGUUAAUACUUAUGUCGUGCUUAAAAUGUGAACCUCACAACAAUCCUUUGAAGUAGGUACAAUUAUUUCCUCAUUUUUCAGAGGAAGAAAUGGAGACACAGCAAAGUAAUUAAGUUUGUUGCUCAAGAUCGUACCGGAAAUCAUAAGUAGGCAGUCUGGCUCCAGAGGCGGUGUGGUUUCUCUGGGGAGCUUUACUUUAUACUUCGAAGGGACAUCUAAGCACUACUUUUGCAGCUGUAAGAGAUGCUCUUUUAAAAAUUUCAAAGUAGCGUAAGAGAUUGCAGUGUCUCUAAACUGCAGAAGGAAUGCUGGAUUUUCUAUAUAGAGGACAUUGAUAAUGGAAUGGUUAAGGGGACAUUAUAUAUUGAAAUGACUAAAGAUGGUGGAGAGAAACUGAAGUUUGAAUCUCAAAGCUGAGGAUUAUGAUUUUUUAUAGAUACUGAAUUCUAGAACAGUGAUUCACCAGGACAUAGGACAAUGAUUGCUUGUUACUAAUUUAGUAUCAAAAAACUUAUGCCAAAUAAAAUAAUAUUGAAUGACA
Molecule: long non-coding RNA, 3452 nt
Filed under: Homo sapiens (human)
Lineage: Eukaryota; Metazoa; Chordata; Mammalia; Primates; Hominidae
Description: HSALNT0346403
Source: RNAcentral